AAAUGUCUUGGAAGCAAUGGUAGAUCAAACUCCUGGCUAAGUCAGGCGACUGCCUCGGCUUUCUCUUUGUCUCUACUACUGAUUAUUUGGUAAAUUAUUGUCGAUAUCUAGAAAAGCAGCUACAUAAAAACUAUUAGUUGCUCGAGUUCAAUGGCACCACUGGCUCCGCCAGUGUUUGGAAGGCAUCAAUUUUGAAGCCCUUAUGGCCUUCGAGGAAAACCAAGCAAGAUCUACAACAGUUUACCAUAUGGCAGCAGAAGGUUUGUAUUUGCAAAAUCUAUCAUGUGGAAAGGCAAGAUCCUAUAGUUCCGCUCGGUUAGGAUUUAAGACAUAAUUUACCUUUACUUCAAGAAUCCUUGACCUAAAGCCCAUUUCUCUCAAAAUUAAUGUUUGGUCCUGUUUGUUACAACAUAUCGUAUUCUCUCUGCAGUUCAAUAUAUGAAUCCUUUCUUGACUAUUAUUAGCCAUAUAUAGUACAUAUUCUUAACUUUGUGCAAUCGGACAAACAAAGCUGUCCCUUUCGUUUUUACUAAAGAAACUAACAAAAAAAAUUGAGGGCCAUGCUUCCACAAGAUGGCUAUGACUUAUGCCCAAACUCAAAUUUCCCCAAACUAUUUAAGACCCAUUCUUAGGUACACUUAGUACAUUUCUAGAAAAUUUCUCUGCAGUUUUAUGCUGCGACUUUUGCAACACAUAUGUCGUGGAAAGCCAUCUAGAAGUAAAGUUAGGAUUAAUUAGAAAAAAAUCAUUGGUGAAAAACCAGUCUGGUCAACAAUAUUAACGUACAAAGGGAAUCAUAACUCGUACGUAAGGGAUAGGUUGCUAUUUUGUUUUUCUUUAUAUGUAUGUGCUCCAUCGCUUUCGAUGAUCCAAUCAACAUUGGAUAUUAGUGCCUUGCAAUAAUUUGGACCAGUCAGAACAUAUCAAAUGUUUGACACGAAAGUUAAUUAGGUCAUUUUGGUUGGAAAAUAAGACUGGAGAGAUGAUGUACCUGUGAUGUCCCAUUAUAUUGUUAAAUGUCAGUGAAAUGAGGGCAUGAUUUUCAUGCUGAAAAUUGUGAAAAAUUAUUAUAGGACUGAUCCCAAAUUGUUUGACUUCUUUAUUGGGAUGAUAUGUGCACUCAACUAAUCAAAUCGUGGGAAAAUUCAACGCUGCUAGUACUUCAAGUACCAGAAACAUCGGGAAAAAUAUGCUACUCUAUUCGGUUUUUAAUGUAUGACUCUAUUAGCUUUUUGGCAUAUUUUUUAUCAUAGUCUUAUUAAUAUUUGUUUGUAAUUACUACUUAUUAUGCUUUGUUUUAUGAAUAAAGGAACUUUAAUC
RNAcentral lists this small RNA (1320 nucleotides) under Oryza sativa Japonica Group (Japanese rice). RNAcentral describes it as "sRNA Os11g0634350". Lineage: Eukaryota; Viridiplantae; Streptophyta; Magnoliopsida; Poales; Poaceae. The record is from RNAcentral.